This 460-nucleotide ribosomal RNA is filed under the name uncultured bacterium. Its description in RNAcentral is "partial 16S ribosomal RNA". It matches the Rfam family "Bacterial small subunit ribosomal RNA", at positions 338 to 795 of the family's 1533-position model. The record is from RNAcentral.
CCUACGGGAGGCAGCAGUGAGGAAUAUUGGUCAAUGGGCGCGAGCCUGAACCAGCCAAGUAGCGUGAAGGAUGACUGCCCUACGGGUUGUAAACUUCUUUUAUAAAGGAAUAAAGUGAGGCACUUGUGCCUUUUUGUAUGUACUUUAUGAAUAAGGAUCGGCUACCUCCGUGCCAGCAGCCGCGGUAAUACGGAGGAUCCGCGCGUUCUCCGGUUUGUUUGGGGUUAAAGGGUGCGUAGAUGGGUUGUUAAGUCAGUUUUGAAAGUUUGCGGCUCAACCGUAAAAUUGCAAUUGAUACUGGCAGUCUUGAGUACAGUUGAGGUAGGCGGAAUUCGUGGUGUAGCGGUGAAAUGCUUAGAUAGCACGAAGAACGCCGAUUGCGAAGGCAGCUUACUAAACUGCCACUGACAUUGAGGCACGAAAGUGUGGGUAUCAAACAGGAUUAGAUACCCCUGUAGUC